UCUUCCUUGGUCUAGUGGUAAGGAUACCUGCCUGUCAUACAGACAGUGCGCAGUUUCGCAGGUGGCCGGGGUUCGAUUCCCCGAGGGAGAG
This 91-nucleotide transfer RNA is filed under the name Cephalotrichum gorgonifer. RNAcentral's name for it is "transfer RNA-Asp(GTC)". It matches the Rfam family "tRNA". Rfam says of the family: Transfer RNA (tRNA) molecules are approximately 80 nucleotides in length. Their secondary structure includes four short double-helical elements and three loops (D, anti-codon, and T loops). The record is from RNAcentral. Lineage: Eukaryota; Fungi; Ascomycota; Sordariomycetes; Microascales; Microascaceae.